This 375-nucleotide ribosomal RNA is filed under the name uncultured organism. RNAcentral describes it as "partial 16S ribosomal RNA". It matches the Rfam family "Bacterial small subunit ribosomal RNA", at positions 526 to 896 of the family's 1533-position model. The record is from RNAcentral.
AGAGGGGUGCGAGCGUUAAUCGGAAUUACUGGGCGUAAAGAGCACGUAGGUGGGAUAGUUAAGUCGGGGUGUGAAAUCCCCAGGGCUCAACCUGGGAAUUGCAUUCGAUACUGGCUGUCUAGAGUAUGGUAGAGGGUAGUGGAAUUCCCGGUGUAGCGGUGAAAUGCAUAGAUAUCGGGAGGAACACCAGUGGCGAAGGCGGCUACCUGGACCAAUACUGACACUGAGGUGCGAAAGCGUGGGGAGCAAACAGGAUUAGAGACCCUGGUAGUCCACGCCGUAAACGAUGAGAACUAGACGUUGGGGGGCAUGUCCCUUUAGUGUCGCAGCUAACGCGAUAAGUUCUCCGCCUGGGGAGUACGACCGCAAAAGUUA